CUCCGGCUCGAAGGACCA
This 18-nucleotide non-coding RNA is filed under the name Danio rerio (zebrafish). RNAcentral also lists the same sequence under 2 other names. The record is from RNAcentral. Lineage: Eukaryota; Metazoa; Chordata; Actinopteri; Cypriniformes; Danionidae.